RNAcentral lists this ribosomal RNA (403 nucleotides) under bacterium. RNAcentral describes it as "partial 16S ribosomal RNA". It matches the Rfam family "Bacterial small subunit ribosomal RNA", at positions 355 to 776 of the family's 1533-position model. The record is from RNAcentral.
UGGGGAAUAUUGCACAAUGGAGGGAACUCUGAUGCAGCGACGCCGCGUGAACGAAGAAGGCUUUCGAGUCGUAAAGUUCUUUUAUAUGGGAAGAUAAUGACGGUACCAUAAGAAAAAGCCCCGGCUAACUACGUGCCAGCAGCCGCGGUAAUACGUAGGGGGCUAGCGUUGUCCGGAAUCAGUGGGCGUAAAGGGUUCGCAGGCGGAAAUGCAAGUCAGGUGUAAAAGGCAGUAGCUUAACUACUGUAAGCAUUUGAAACUGCAUAUCUUGAGAAGAGUAGAGGUAAGUGGAAUUUUUAGUGUAGCGGUGAAAUGCGUAGAUAUUAAAAAGAAUACCGGUGGCGAAGGCGACUUACUGGGCUCAUUCUGACGCUGAGGAACGAAAGCGUGGGUAGCAAACAGG